This 3286-nucleotide long non-coding RNA is filed under the name Zostera marina. RNAcentral describes it as "long non-coding RNA (ZMAR_LNC003329)". The record is from RNAcentral. Lineage: Eukaryota; Viridiplantae; Streptophyta; Magnoliopsida; Alismatales; Zosteraceae.
UUGAAAUAAAAUAUUAUAUAUUAGACCUAAAUAAACCAUACAUAACAUUAUUAUUUAAUUAAAAAUUAAUUUGAAAUAGACAAAGUGGACAAGAUGUAUUUUUUUUAACAAACCAUUUUAAUACGCAACACAUAUGAAAAACAUGUUUGCAAGGAAGUUCCGCAACGGUAUAUUUUUUCUCUAUGAAGUCAUUUAAACAUAUUAACCACAUUUUCUGAUCAUUGAUUUGCCAUCAUCAUCAACAUCAUCGCCCCAGAAGAAAAUUAUAGUAGACACGACUAUUCUGUAUUUCAAAUCUUUAUUCAUAAUCAUAUUGUUCUCUUUCAAAAAUAUCUCGGGUGAAACUAAUAAUUCAUAGUUUAAUUUAAAUGAUACAUCCAAAGAUUCUGAUAAUGUUGUUUUUUAAGCUUCACCAUAUAAGUAUGGAAAUAACUUCUCUAUAAUUCUCUCCAAUACUUGUUUGUUGAUGUGAACGCCGUUAUUUGUGAUCGUUUUGAUAGUAUUUUCUGUCGACGUUAUGGAACAGAAGUGUUGGUCUGUGUUUGAAAUUAGCUUGGGGACGGAAGAUGUCAUAGCUCUUGAUGAUGGUGAAGAUGAGAUGACUGUGUAGUUUCUGUUCACCGUAACUUCCAUAAGAACGACACGAAAUCGGUAUACAGUUUCAGGCAGAUACCAAUUUUCGCAGGUCAUUUCGAAUUUCAUAAAAUCGUUUGAUUCAUUCCAUGACAUGAUAGAUGCAGUUGAUAUCAUUGCAGCCGUUAUCAAACUUUUGAAUGAAAUGUGUAAAGAGGGUCAGAGAACAUGAUGAUAUAAAAAUUGUAAAUGGUUUUAUUAAUUUAUAGAAAAAUAAAGAUUUGAAUCAAUGGUUGUAAACAAAAACAAUUAUAACCACAAAUUAAACUCAUCUAAAAUUAGUAAAGAUUUUAAUCUUCACUAAAAUUAUAAAAUUGCAUCAAAAUCAAAAAAAAAAGUUCCAAUAUAUAUUUUUUUUUUUGCAAAAAAAUUGAAUGAAUUUAUAAUAAAUAGUAAAAAAAAUUAAAUUAUUAAUUGAAUGAAUCUAAAGAGACAACCUAUUUGAAAUUUUAUGGUUUCUCCUAGAUUUACCGUUGAUUCUUAGAUCCACCGGUAGCCGAAAAACUCAGAAAUCCUUAGACUCACCCCAGUCAUUUAAGUGUUUUUGAUCAUUUUUUUACUCCAUCUAAACCCUAACCCUAAAAGACUUAUAUGGAAAAGUACAGACUUAUGUAAAUGGAUCCUUGAAAAUCCAGAGAUUUUGAUUUGAAAUAAUAUAUUUUAUCAAGGAAUUAAGAUUGCUUUGAAAUAAAAAUAUCAAAUAUUAGACCUAAAUAAACCAUACAUAACAUUAUUAUUUAAUUAAAAAUUAAUUUGAAAUCGACAUAGUGGACAAGAUGUAUUUUUUUAACAAACCAUUUUAAUACGCAACACAUAUGAAAAUCAUGUUUGCAAGGAAGUUCCGCAACGGUAUAUUUUUUCUCUUUGAAGUCAUUUAAACAUAUUGAACACAUUUUCUGAUUAUUGAUAUUGCCAUCAUCAUCAACAUCAUCGCCCCAGAAGAAAAUUUUAGUAGAUGCGACUAUUCUGUACUUCAAAUCUUUCUUCAUAACCUUAUUGUUCUCUUUCAAAAACAUCUAAGUGAAACUAAUAAUUCAUAGUUUAAUUUAAAUGAUACAGAAAAAGAUUCUAUUAAUUUUGUUUUUUGAGCUUCACCAUAUAAGUAUGGAGAUAACUUCUCUAUAAUUCUCUCCAAUACUUGUUUGUUGAUGUGAACGUCGUUAUUUGUGAUCGCUUUGAUAGUAUUUUAUGUCGACGUUAUUUAACUGAAGUGUUGGUCGGUGUUUGAAAUUAGCUUGGGGACGAAAGAUGUUAUGCUAGCUCUUGAUGAUGGUGAAGAUGAGAUGACUGUAUAUUUUCUUUUCACCAUUUUUCGGAGGUCAUUACGAAUUUCAUAAAAUCGUUUGAUUCAUUCCAUGACAUGAUAGAUGCAGUUGAAUGCAUUGAAGCCAUUAUCAAACUUUCGAUUGAAAUGUGUAAAAGUGUCAGAGAAGAAGAUGAUAUAAAAAAUAGAAAUUGUUUUAUUAAUUUAUAGAAAAAUAAACAUUUGAAUCAAUGGUUGUAAACAAAAACAAUUAUAACCACAAAUUAAACUCAUCUAAAAUUAGUAAAGAUUUUAAUCUUCAUUAAAAUGAUAAAAUUGCAUCAAAAUAAAAAAAAAAAUUUCCAAUAUAUACUUUUUUUUUGCAAAAAAAAUGAAUGAAUUUAUAAUAAAUAUUAAAAAAAAUUAAAUUAUUAAUUGAAUGAAUCUAAAGAGACAAACUUUUUGAAAUUUAAUGGUUUCGCCUAGAUUUACCGUUGAUUCUUAUAUCCACCGGUAGCUGAUAAACUCAGAAAUCGUUAGACUCACCCCAGUCAUUUAAGUGUUUUUGAUCAUUUUAAUUAUUUUUUUACUCCAUCUAAACCCUAACCCUAAAAGACUUAUAUAGAAAAGUACAGACUUAUGUAAAUGGAUCCUUGAAAAUCCAGAGAUUUUGAUUUGAAAUAAUUUAUUUUAUCAGGGAAUUAAGAUUGCUUUGAAAUAAAAAUAUCAAAUAUUAGACCUAAAUAAACCAUACAUAACAUUAUUAUUUAAUUAAAAAUUAAUUUGAAAUCGACAUAGUGGACAAGAUGUAUUUUCUUUAACAAACCAUUUUAAUACGCAACACAUAUGAAAAACAUGUUUGCAAGGAAGUUCCGCAAUGGUAUAUUUUUUCUCUUUGAAGUCAUUUAAACAUAUUGAACACAUUUUCUGAUCAGUGAUAUUGCCAUCAUCAUCAACAUCAUCGCCCCAGAAGAAAAUUUUAGUAGAUGCGACUAUUCUGUACUUCAAAUCUUUCUUCAUAACCUUAUUGUUCUCUUUCAAAAACAUCUCGGGUGAAACUAAUAAUUCAUAGUUUAAUUUAAAUGAUACAGACAAAGAUUCUGAUAAUGUUGUUUUUUGAGCUUCACCAUAUAAGUAUGGAGAUAACUUCUCUAUAAUUCUCUCCAAUACUUGUUUGUUGACGUGAAUGCCGUUAUUUGUGAUCGUUUUGAUAGUAUUUUCUGUCGACGUUAUGGAACUGAAGUGUUGGUCGGUGUUUGAAAUUAGCUUGGGGACGAAAGAUGUCAUGCUAGCUCUAGAUGAUGGUGAAGAUGAGAUGACUGUAUAUUUUCUUUUCACCAUUUUUCGCAGGUCAUUUCGAAUUUCAUAAAAUCGUUUGAUUCAUUCCAUGACAUGAUAGAUGCAGUUGAU